RNAcentral lists this ribosomal RNA (444 nucleotides) under uncultured bacterium. Its description in RNAcentral is "bacterial SSU rRNA". It matches the Rfam family "Bacterial small subunit ribosomal RNA", at positions 331 to 792 of the family's 1533-position model. The record is from RNAcentral.
CCAGACUCCUACGGGAGGCAGCAGUGGGGGAUAUUGCACAAUGGGGGCAACCCUGAUGCAGCGACGCCGCGUGAGCGAUGGAGUACUUCGGUAUGUAAAGCUCUGUCAGCAGGGAAGAGAAUGACGGUACCUGACCAAGAAGCCCCGGCUGAAUACGUGCCAGCAGCCGCGGUAAUACGUAUGGGGCAAGCGUUAUCCGGAUUUACUGGGUGUAAAGGGAGCGUAGGCGGCAGGGCAAGCCUGAUGUGAAAGCCCGGGGCUCAACCGCGGAAUGGCUUUGGAAACUUUUUUGCUGGAGUACCGGAGAGGUAAGCGGAAUUCCUAGUGUAGCGGUGAAAUGCGUAGAUAUUAGGAGGAACACCAGUGGCGAAGGCGGCUUACUGGACGGUAACUGACGUUGAGGCUCGAAAGCGUGGGGAGCAAACAGGAUUAGAUACCCCAGUA